CCCUUAGAUGUUCUGGGCCGCACGCGCGCUACACUGAUGCAUUCAACGAGCCUAUCCUUGACCGACAGGUCCGGGUAAUCUUUGAAUCUGCAUCGUGACGGGGAUAGAUUAUUGCAAUUAUUAAUCUUCAACGAGGAAUGCCUAGUAGGCGCAAGUCAUCGGCUUGCGUCGAUUACGUCCCUGCCCUUUGUACACACCGCCCGUCGCUCCCACCGAUUGGGUGUGCUGGUGAAAUGUUCGGAUCGGCCGUUUGUCGCGGUUUCCGCGUCAUGUGGCUGAGAAGUUCAUUAAACCCUCCCACCUAGAGGAAGGAGAAGUCGUAACA
This 325-nucleotide ribosomal RNA is filed under the name uncultured eukaryote. Its description in RNAcentral is "partial 18S ribosomal RNA". It matches the Rfam family "Eukaryotic small subunit ribosomal RNA", at positions 1470 to 1796 of the family's 1831-position model. The record is from RNAcentral.